This is a non-coding RNA of Macaca mulatta (Rhesus monkey), 646 nucleotides long. The record is from RefSeq and is a predicted model, not a curated record. Lineage: Eukaryota; Metazoa; Chordata; Mammalia; Primates; Cercopithecidae.
UGUUGUUUUUGGUGGGGGAGGGGUGGGAGAAAGUAGGUACUGAUUUCCCUAAUGUUUCCUUUGUGUGGCUGCUGUUGCCAUGUGGUGGUCUGUUGCUAUGAAGAUUUGUGGUGCCAGACAAUGGCUGCUAGGCUCUUUAUGACUGUGCUAUUGGUAGAACUAUUUCUUCCAGAUUCAAGCUGGUAUGCAAUUGGCUAAACAGUGGAGAAAGCUUGGUUGUUAUUGUGCCCCAUCUCUCCUCUAGAUCUUCAGAGAAUGAUCUUUGCAGGAAAUCUCUGUUACCUGAAGAUGAAAAGGAAUGUGAACCAACUGUGAUCCCAAUUCAGACCUUCGCCAACUGACAGUUCAGGUGAAGGCCCUCUGGGGUGACCAGAAAGCAAAGAAAAGAUGAGUAUAUUAUUGCAGACAGUUCUCUUUCCCUUGGGAUGAAAGAAAAAAUAAAGAAGAGAGCUAAGCCUUGAAAUACAGUUCAUGAAUUUCCAAAACAGAAGACAUUCCAUUCUCAGGGGCAAAUGGAACAUGCAAGAAGUCCGGAUGCCUUGGGCAGCAGCAACCUACAGUGAGCCAACUGCUUAGUGGAUGCCUGAAAAUAAGACCAUCUAAACACUUCCCCGUUGCCUCAGCCUAUAAAAUCUGUACCAAGUGA